AGUGUCUGCUGUUCUGUCUCAGCUCUUCCGAACCUAUGAUCUCCACGAACAAGUUGAUAUUCAUGCCCGACGUGCUGUUGUGCUUCAUGCCCUCCCUGCCUAUUUGCACGAAGACACCUCUACCUUCAUCAAAACGUGGGAUAUGAUGCAUUCUGAUGAACCAGAUAUUAGUGAAGUGCCACUUGGACUCCUCCUGAUCAGAGCCAAUUCCAGCGAUGCAACAUUCUUCUGUCCUGAGAAGAUUGCAGUUUUGGUCAAGGGUAACAUGAUCAUUGAUUUCCCCACCCUGGCUGAUGCAUUUCUAGUAAUAUUUGGACUGACUUACACCCUGCAUCUAAGCUACCCAAAAUGUUUGGCCAACACAUUUGACUUUAUUCAGAAAGUGUUGAUGGGUCUGGAGGAUGGGAAGUUGAAGCCCAAAGUGCUGAGUCUCAAAAAUGAUCUUUUGGCAGCAGAAUAAUGUCCAGGGUUCCUACAUAGCCCUCAAGUGCCUGUUAAAGCAAGUAACUCAGUUUAUCAUUUUUCCAAGUCUGGAUAAGUUUAAAAAAAGAGAAUAGAAGCGAGAAAAUGUUGGCAUUUGCAUACUCUCAUUUCAUACUUGAUUAUCUAAAAGCCAAACAUCCAAAAUAAAAGGGGAAGGUGAUAAGGAGUUUUACAAGACUUUGUUUUAUGUUUCUAAAGAGGGAUUUAUCUAUUUAAGGUUUUAUUGGUCUGUUGUUGACAGCAUGAUUGCACUCUACAGAUGUGUAUAUUGGUUUAGUAAUAACCCUUUGCUGUUUUUGUAAUAACAGUAUUGGCAUAUUAAAAAGGUUCCCAAUAAUAUUCCAGUGUAUUAGCUGCACUGUAAUUUACUUUCAUUCAGUUUCCCCACCUGACAAUGCAGGAUUUUCUGUGUGUUUUUUCAUUUUCUUCUGUUUUUUUUUGUUUUGUUUUUUUUUAACAAAAAUGCCAUACUCAACUGUUAAUGGCAUCUGAAUAUUGUUGUAUUCAGAUUUCACAUGUUGUGAAAGUCUUUAUUUCUAAUAUUGUAACCUUGUGCCUAAACUUGACAUUUCUGAAAUUAUUCCCAGUAAUAUUUGGUGAAUUUGUCUUUGGGAUUGCCCGAGAUUUUUUUUUCUUUUCUGAACAUACAUGCAAGGAAAUUUAAUUUGUCAUUUAUUACUGUACUGCAUUUGUCAUACCGAAAGAGGAUCUCAGCUCUAUCCCCUUGCCUACACACAAGUAUUUUUGGUUCUCUGAAAAAACACAAAUGUUAAGACAUCGUGUCUUAACAA
Molecule: long non-coding RNA, 1274 nt
Organism: Oreochromis aureus
Lineage: Eukaryota; Metazoa; Chordata; Actinopteri; Cichliformes; Cichlidae
Exons: 3
Source: RefSeq, a predicted model, not a curated record